ACAAAGGCUCUUUUCAGAGCCACCUAACCUUUCCUAACAAGGGCUU
Mus musculus (house mouse) is the source of this 46-nucleotide non-coding RNA. The record is from Rfam. Lineage: Eukaryota; Metazoa; Chordata; Mammalia; Rodentia; Muridae.